GAUGAAGAACGCAGCGAAAUGCGAUAAGUAAUGUGAAUUGCAGAAUUCAGUGAAUCAUCGAAUCUUUGAACGCACAUUGCGCCCGUCAGUAUUCUGGCGGGCAUGCCUGUUCGAGCGUCAUUACGCCCCUCAAGUCCCCUGUGGACUUGGUGUUGGGGAUCGGCGAGGCUGGUUUUCCAGCACAGCCGUCCCUUAAAUUAAUUGGCGGUCUCGCCGUGGCCCUCCUCUGCGCAGUAGUAAAACACUCGCAACAGGAGCCCGGCGCGGUCCACUGCCGUAAAACCCCCCAACUUUUUAUAGUUGACCUCGAAUCAGGUAGGACUACCCGCUGAACUUAAGCAUAUCAAUAAGCGGAGGA
Molecule: unclassified non-coding RNA, 358 nt
Filed under: soil metagenome
Description: partial contains 5.8S ribosomal RNA, internal transcribed spacer 2, and large subunit ribosomal RNA
Rfam family: 5.8S ribosomal RNA (bases 1-120)
Source: RNAcentral